GACGAACGCUGGCGGCGUGCCUAAUACAUGCAAGUCGAACGCUGAAGGAGGAGCUUGCUUCUCUGGAUGAGUUGCGAACGGGUGAGUAACGCGUAGGUAACCUGCCUGGUAGCGGGGGAUAACUAUUGGAAACGAUAGCUAAUACCGCAUAACAGUAGAUAUCGCAUGAUAUCUACUUGAAAGGUGCAAUUGCAUCACUACCAGAUGGACCUGCGUUGUAUUAGCUAGUUGGUGAGGUAACGGCUCACCAAGGCGACGAUACAUAGCCGACCUGAGAGGGUGAUCGGCCACACUGGGACUGAGACACGGCCCAGACUCCUACGGGAGGCAGCAGUAGGGAAUCUUCGGCAAUGGACGGAAGUCUGACCGAGCAACGCCGCGUGAGUGAAGAAGGUUUUCGGAUCGUAAAGCUCUGUUGUAAGAGAAGAACGAGUGUGAGAGUGGAAAGUUCACACUGUGACGGUAUCUUACCAGAAAGAGACGGCUAACUACGUG
This 495-nucleotide ribosomal RNA is filed under the name uncultured bacterium. Its description in RNAcentral is "partial 16S ribosomal RNA". It matches the Rfam family "Bacterial small subunit ribosomal RNA", at positions 28 to 507 of the family's 1533-position model. The record is from RNAcentral.